RNAcentral lists this long non-coding RNA (373 nucleotides) under Medicago truncatula (barrel medic). RNAcentral describes it as "long non-coding RNA (MTRU_LNC005998)". Lineage: Eukaryota; Viridiplantae; Streptophyta; Magnoliopsida; Fabales; Fabaceae. The record is from RNAcentral.
ACCAAAAACAAAGAUCAAAUUUACCAUUCAAGCUUUUCCUCGAUUACUUAGAGCAUACAAAUUUAUUUUGCUAAUCAAACCCUAAGAAAUUCAUUUCAUCAAGGACAGAAACAAUCCUAAACUUCAAGAAAAACAAAACGAGACAUGUUGUCACUUACUUGUCGGAUUUUAGAACAAAUGUGUCAACAAAUAUGAUUUCUUUGACGUUGAUUUGUUAAAGAUAAAGGAAUGAAUGAAUAAAUAAAUGAGUUUUUUUUUCUUCCAAUAAUCAAGUUUGACAACUUUCAAACCAACAAAUAUUGUAACCAAAAAAAAAAAAAACCAACAAAUACGAAUAUGCUCUGCCAUUCUGUUUAGGCGUAAAAAUGUUACG